This is a non-coding RNA of Paramuricea clavata, 1028 nucleotides long. The record is from the annotation of a GenBank genome assembly. NCBI's taxonomy places the organism in Eukaryota, Metazoa, Cnidaria, Anthozoa, Malacalcyonacea, Plexauridae.
CAUCUAUACUAAACCAAUUAUUUAUUGCAAAUUUAUUUUACGCGAGUUUUAAAACCACAGUAAGGUCCUAAACAAACGAGUCAGCCCGGUUAACCGGGCCAGCUCGGCACCAUGUAAUCAGCACCUUAGUAGACAUUGAAUCACUGUAUAUUGGUCAAUAUCUGGACCUGUAAUUGACAAUUGGACAUAAGCCUUAGGGCCUACUAUUUAAGACAUUCAUAUCUAGGUUACAGUAUAUUGUCUAUAUAGUAAUACAGUAUUAAGAUAUUUACUGGUAUUAAAGCAUGCAGUUUCUUCAGUGUUUAUAAUAACUUUAGAAUAUCUGCUGGUAAUAGCAAAGUCAACCGUUCGGCCAUAUUCACCAGCAUCAAAAGCACGACUUUAUCUUCUCUGCAUGGAUGAAAAUAUUCUUUCCUUUUCCCUACCUCUCGAAUGAUCGACAAUGCCUUCUCAUAUGCGUGAUAAGUCAUGUAACAUGGGUUUUGAUUUUCCCUUAAUUGGCAGUACUAGCUGUAGAAUUUGUCGAGUGCUUAAUACGUCUGCGUCGAUAUUCGCACAGGAAUUGCUUUAAUCCUUCAAUCUAAACGACAAAUAUAAGUCAAAUAUUAAGUCUAAGGCAUCUCACUACAUAUUGUUUAAUUGGACACAGUAUAAAGGACUUACUUCUUCAACUGAACGCGAUAUUUCUUCAGUUAAUUCAUCCGCGUUGAUUUGCAGCAGCUAAAUAGUUUCAUGAAAAUCGCCUCCGUCGUUGUAUCUGCGUCUCCAGCACCCAGAAUUGUGUGAAUUUUGCUUUCUGAAUCGUAUGCCGAACUUGUCGAAGCCAUAACAAGAACAACAAUGCCUCAUUUUAAAAUUUAUAAGCACAAUAUCAUAUUUCUGUAAUACUACGCUAUAGUAAUUUCUGAAUUUGAUGCACCCGAAAUGUCACGUGACGUACCUUUCCAACAUCUGAAAUUAAUUAGCUCGAAAGCCUUUGAAGUUUGCCGGCCUUCCAAACCCUGUCCUCUAUUAACUAUGGUAUAUAC